RNAcentral lists this ribosomal RNA (497 nucleotides) under uncultured bacterium. Its description in RNAcentral is "partial 16S ribosomal RNA". It matches the Rfam family "Bacterial small subunit ribosomal RNA", at positions 28 to 507 of the family's 1533-position model. The record is from RNAcentral.
GAUGAACGCUGGCGGCGUGCCUAAUACAUGCAAGUCGAGCGAACGGACGAGAAGCUUGCUUCUCUGAUGUUAGCGGCGGACGGGUGAGUAACACGUGGAUAACCUACCUAUAAGACUGGGAUAACUUCGGGAAACCGGAGCUAAUACCGGAUAAUAUUUUGAACCGCAUGGUUCAAAAGUGAAAGACGGUCUUGCUGUCACUUAUAGAUGGAGCCGCGCUGCAUUAGCUAGUUGGUAAGGUAACGGCUUACCAAGGCAACGAUGCAUAGCCGACCUGAGAGGGUGAUCGGCCACACUGGAACUGAGACACGGUCCAGACUCCUACGGGAGGCAGCAGUAGGGAAUCUUCCGCAAUGGGCGAAAGCCUGACGGAGCAACGCCGCGUGAGUGAUGAAGGUCUUCGGAUCGUAAAACUCUGUUAUUAGGGAAGAACAUAUGUGUAAGUAACUGUGCACAUCUUGACGGUACCUAAUCAGAAAGCAACGGCUAACUACGUG